AGAGGGUGAGAAGCGCUGGGCCGGACCAGAACUGUCUUAGCUUUUCCCUCUGCGGCUGCUCUGGUUGGUUACUUUGAGCCUGCCUCCUCAGCGCCGCAGGAGAGACUUAACAGCAAAAAUGACUGUGUCCUGAGUUCAGCCCCCACUGCUCUGGGAGCUUCCCCCUGGUUUCUGCACCUGAAGAAUGUCAUCCCAGCCGAAGGUUCUUAGGAGCGGGGAGCGACAAAGAAAAACAAAGAAAAGCAGACCUGAAAAUUGGGACCUGGGAGAAAUGUAAGACAUGUGCUUAAUUUGAGGCACAGACCAAAAGAAGCUGAGUCUGAGGGCCCUCUAAAAGUGUCCUCGUGCUUGGGCAGCUUACAUUCUUGGCGGCAGUAGUGUUAUGAAGAGGACCUUCGGAGCCAGAGACGAGUGCUCUAAACCAGUAUCAUGGCUCCAGUUCCUCUGACAAGGAUUCACAUGGGGUUGCAAUUCUGACUGUGCUGGUGAUGCUGGUUCCAGGUCCCUCAGGAACCCCUCCCCCAGUCUGGUCUGCCCUUGAACUCUAUACUGGCCCCAGGGUAUCCCAGGAUUGUCA
This 577-nucleotide long non-coding RNA is filed under the name Homo sapiens (human). RNAcentral's name for it is "non-protein coding NCK1-DT:33". Lineage: Eukaryota; Metazoa; Chordata; Mammalia; Primates; Hominidae. The record is from RNAcentral.